This 266-nucleotide ribosomal RNA is filed under the name uncultured bacterium. Its description in RNAcentral is "partial 16S ribosomal RNA". It matches the Rfam family "Bacterial small subunit ribosomal RNA", at positions 793 to 1055 of the family's 1533-position model. The record is from RNAcentral.
GUCCACGCCCUAAACGAUGUCAACUAGGUGUUGGGUGGGUAAAACCAUUUAGUACCGGAGCUAACGCGUGAAGUUGACCGCCUGGGGAGUACGGCCGCAAGGUUAAAACUCAAAGGAAUUGACGGGGACCCGCACAAGCGGUGGAUGAUGUGGAUUAAUUCGAUGCAACGCGAAAAACCUUACCUACCCUUGACAUGUUCGGAAUCCUGAAGAGAUUUGGGAGUGCUCGAAAGAGAACCGGAACACAGGUGCUGCAUGGCUGUCGU